RNAcentral lists this ribosomal RNA (253 nucleotides) under uncultured bacterium. RNAcentral's name for it is "partial 16S ribosomal RNA". It matches the Rfam family "Bacterial small subunit ribosomal RNA", at positions 524 to 776 of the family's 1533-position model. The record is from RNAcentral.
GACGAACCGUGCGAACGUUGUUCGGAAUCACUGGGCUUAAAGGGCGCGUAGGCGGGCGGCCGCGUCCGGGGUGAAAUACCACGGCUCAACCGUGGAACGGCCUCGGAUACGGGCGGCCUCGAGGGAGGUAGGGGCAUCGGGAACUGUGAGUGGAGCGGUGAAAUGCGUUGAUAUUCACAGGAACACCGGUGGCGAAGGCGGCUUCCUGGACCGACACUGACGCUGAGGCGCGAAAGCUAGGGGAGCAAACGGG